GCAAACAUAGCAGAAGGUUCAGAAAGACUCGCCAUUUAAGAUAGUUUAUGACGAAGAGAUAUGUUACCUAUUGAAAUAUUUUACUUUAUACAUAAUAUUUGAAUGUUAUACUUCAAUUUAAGUGAUGAAUUUAGAAGUGAUAUAAAGAAAUGUAAUAAGGAAAAAGUGAUAUACUACUUGCAAAUGUUUUACCUUGACUUUGAGCGUCAAAAUUUUCUGCGGAUUCUGCAGAUAAUAAUUACCUGUGCAAUAAUGGAAGCUACUUUUUCUUUAUCUACUGCUUUAUCUACUGCGUGGAUUCGUUUGUUUUUCAAAUGAUGUGGAGUAUCUCUACGAUGAAGCUUAUUUGGUCUAUUUGAAUCACCACCACCAUCAUAAUCAGUACUUUCUAUUAUAGAAAAUUCUACAUGUCUUUGUGUUUCUUCAUAUUCAGAUUCUUCCUCCUCUUUGUCAUUUCUAUCCUUUGAUUCAGCACUAGAUUCUGUAAUAUAUUGAUUAGAAGCUACUUCUGGUUCAUUGCUAGAUUCGAAAUCUGCAUUAUCAGCUACUAUUCCAGGUGUACUAACCAUCUGGAUGGAUUUCCAAUUGUGGUAAAAGAAAACAGAUUAAUACUUCUUGCCCUGUCUCCUCAUCAAUAUCCGUCUGAAAAGUAAGCAUUGGCUGUGCUUGAUUUUUACUUAACCAUACUGCCUUUAAGUUCAAAUUGAUCAAGGAAUAUGGCAAGUAUUGUAAUCUGAAAAAUGAAUAUUAUUAAAAAAUAUCAUUAACAGAACUUAAAGAAAAAUUUGAUAUUUAAACUAAAAUAAUUGUAUACCUAUUUCCAGACACAUCCAACACAUGAAGAGCAGUACAUUGUCCAACCUCGGCAGGAAGAUAUUGCAAUUUAUUAUCUCUUAAAGACAGUACACCCAAUUGUUUUAAAUUUCCUAUAGAAAAAAAGAUAUUCGAUAAAAUUUAUUUUUAGUAUCAUUAUACUAUGUAAUCCUAAUGAUAUUUUUCUUACCGAUUUCUGUAGGAAGCGACUGUAAACUAUUUCUAUCUACAUUUAAAUUAUUUAGAUUAAGAAGUUUUCCUAUAGUUACAGGCAGUUCUAGGAGAAAAUUUUCCAAAGAAAAAUUAAUCUCACCUGCCUAUAUUUGGAUUUAGAGUGGAAAGUCUAUUUUGAUCGACUUUAAGAAUGAUCUUCCAGGCGGUUUUCAGAUACGUCCAGGCACGCUAACGUUUUCAGUUCUCCGAUUUCCGAUGGUAAGUGUUGCAACUGAUUAUGAUCCAACCAUAAUUCUUGUAACGCUGGUAAUUUUCCUAUAUGUGCUGGCU
Molecule: long non-coding RNA, 1317 nt
Organism: Frieseomelitta varia
Lineage: Eukaryota; Metazoa; Arthropoda; Insecta; Hymenoptera; Apidae
Exons: 6
Source: RefSeq, a predicted model, not a curated record